AACGCACGAGACCUGCGGACCUGCGGAAGGAUCAUUAAUGAGAAGCUGCCCCUCGUGGGUAGACCUCCCACCCUCUGUGAACUUACCUUUGUUGCUUUGGCAGGCCCGUCCUCUGGACCGCCGGCUUCGGCUGGCCCGUGCCUGCCAGAGGAUUCCAAACCCUGUCUGUCAGUGUUGCCUGAGUCUAUAUGAAAUCGUUAAAACUUUUAGCAAUGGAUCUCUAGAUCGGAAGAGCACACG
This 240-nucleotide unclassified non-coding RNA is filed under the name soil metagenome. Its description in RNAcentral is "partial contains 5.8S ribosomal RNA, internal transcribed spacer 2, and large subunit ribosomal RNA". The record is from RNAcentral.